GGCGCGCGCCCUUCGGCCGACGCCGCCGACGACGGUGCACCAGCGUGGCACCUUCCUUGACCUCCUCGACGCCGCCUUCAACGCGCCCUCAAGCCGCAGAGGGUGCUCACAGAGAACUGCUCCGCCACGUACUCCGGCUCCGGCAACCCCUGCCUCCACUUCUUCUUCCAGGUUGUCCCCAACACGCCGCCCGAGCGCGUGCACGAGCUCCUAGCCACCGCCUGGAAACAGGAAACCCUCACGAAGACCUCACACGCUCGCCCUCGCCCUCCACCGCCGCUGCCGCUGCGACCCCCUCGCCCGUGCUCUACAUCCCUGCAUCCCCUUCCACUCCCCCGUCUCCUCGAGCUCGCGGCAGCCGAUAUCCUGUCCGCCGUCCUUGCCCCACCUACCCCGUCAUCUUCCACCAAUCCUGCCGACGACUAGCUGUCGCGAACCACCAGCAGUAGCAGGCGUUGCGCGGCGGCACAACAUGAACAGCACGAGCAGUGGAAUCUCCCUGCCGACGGGAUCCUCUUCCCUUUGGUCGGAUCCGCCUCCUGUGACGGGAUCCACCCCUCCUAAAGCCAGAUGCCUUGCAGCACAAUUUGCAAAACUGCAUUGUCAAUCUUUGAGGCCUGGCUGGACUACAUGGUAGGUUAUUGGCUUUGUUUCUGUUCUACCUCAAAGACUGUUGCUGAAAUUUUUGUUAACUUACUUGUAAUGGUGUCAUUGACUGUUUCAGAAGAGAAUUCUAUUACUGAAUCGGGAGGGAAUGUGGUGUCUCUUCGAAAAUCUUUGGUUUUUAAUAAUUUCCUUCUAGGUUGAGGUAAAUUGUACCUAAACUGUGAACUGGAGCAACAACCCUUAAUGAUUGGUGAAUGACAAAGCUAAACUGAAGAAGUGAUACAAUUUUGGAUCAUGCCUCUUAGAUGCCCUAGGUGUAUCAAAAAAUGAAUGGAGUCAUGUCACAUUUCUUUACUUAGAUGAAAUAAACAGUCAAGAUGAAGAACAUAAUAUUUGCAUCUGAUAGACAGAACAUCUAUUUUUAAUAGCUUCACUCUUGCUAUUCCAUUGCGUACCCGACAAAAUUGCAUCUGAUUCAGGAGUUAGAACUGUUACAAACUUUUGCGGCAUGGCCAAUGCUGACGAGACGAAGCUAUGGAAUAAUGGAAUCUACCCACAGUGCUACACUACUACGUGCAUCUCAACCAGAUGACCACUGGACGCUGCCUCCUUGCCGCCAUGAUUCAGUGGCUCACCUUUCCUAGAGCCAAUGGAACUGAACUGAACUGCACCUAUUUUGUUUUGCAGCUGUUGCAUAAACUAUAAACAAAGUACAAGAUACAUCGGAUUAUGUCUACAACAUUGGAUGCCAAAGCGUCAUCUUCUAAGGUAAGAUCCCCAUAAUCUGGCUAUGCGUCCAAUUUUAUUUCAUGGAACUAUAUCUUGUUUCACAUUUUAUCCCUACACGUUUGAAUGCAACUACUAUUUGACUAGCAUGCCUAAUAAUCACCAUGUCGUUCUGGAGUGGAGAGGACACACCGGGGAGAGGUGGAUCCCUAAUGCAACUUGAACUUAGCAUACUUCAUGUAUACAGGCUCAUAAAUUGGACCCUCUGCAACUAUGUAUUGUACAGGGGCAGAAAUAGUGGUUAUUAACCAACUAACCCCCCAGUCAAUCAAGGACUCCUUGUACAAUUUCAAUUCUAAAUUUCCUGCAAGGUGAUAGAUUUAGUUGUGCAAAAGUCAAAAGCACCAUGGACUUGCUCUUCAACAUGGAACACUAAACCAAAUGUAGAGGCACAUGCCCAAGUUUGUUUGGUUGUAAUACAUAGCAUAGAAGAUCAGUUGUGCUACCUCCAGGUAAUUUCUCAAUUAGAUCUGUAUGGAGCUUUGAUAUUUCAAGGGGUUGUUUUUUGUGUGUGUUUGUGCUUGGCCAAAGAUUAUUUGAGAAUUGGGUUAUAUUUACCUAACAUGUUUGCUAGCACAUCAAGACAAAAAAAAGGGUGCUAAUUAUAACAAUUUUGUCUGGAGCGUGAACAUGUAUGUCUUUUUGUUUACACGAAAAUAUCAAUCGUGAAUGCCCUUGUCUUAUGGGUGCAAUAAAUAAAAAUAUACUACUUUUAUCAUCUUACAAAAUCUAGACACAUCGAGAGGGCAAUUAAAAUGUGGGAGGACACAUCGAGAUGGAGAAAAGAGUUUUGUGUUUGAACAAUCCUUGAGAGGAUCACAAUGAUUAGAACUUGUGAUCUUUGCUUAAUACAUCGAGUUCUUGUGCUGCUCAAUAUUUUAAGCUCUUUCCGAUGGGAUUUUAAGCUUCAUAUGAACCGGAUGCCAAACGGAGUCGACCGUUAGGAGGGAGGGUUACUAUUAUCUUGAAUUCUUGAUCAUCUUAGACACUGCAGAUCUUUGGCAACUAUAAAGGAUCUUCUAAAAAGGGAUGAAGCUGUAGUUUUCGAAGACACGCCUCGCUCUAGAAAUCCUUAGUGCAUGUCUAUUUUUUCUUUUCAAUUUGCCAGCUGAUAUUUUUUGUUUAUCUACAUGUAGUUUUUGAUUGUUUUUAAAAGGAGGAUCGAACUAGAACAACUGCUAUAGACCAACUCUUUUUUCUGUUUCAAUACAAAUGGAACUAGAUCCCCUCCUGGAAGUGGUGAUGUGUGCCGUGAGGUACUCAAUGAAGGAGAUCUCUUGUACUGGUAUAAUUCCUCUUAUGUAAACGUGUGAUGUGGAAAGCAAGAUCCCCACUCAAGCAGAUAUAUUGUAAUGUUAAAUCCAUUGCUGGAACAUACUACCUAUAUUACCCAGUCCAUUUGUUCAAAAUAGAUUAAGCUAUAUAUUGUGGGUUCUAAUUUGUUGACUGUCAUUCUAAUAUUUCUAUUUGUUUCAAGCAUACCUAGGGUGUUACAACUGAAGAAUUUCUUGUACUAAUACUUGAAGAUAUGGAUGUAUGUUGUCUGCUUGUUAAAUCAAAAGUACUUCAACUCA
Lolium perenne is the source of this 2966-nucleotide long non-coding RNA. RefSeq lists it as uncharacterized. Lineage: Eukaryota; Viridiplantae; Streptophyta; Magnoliopsida; Poales; Poaceae. The record is from RefSeq and is a predicted model, not a curated record.